AUAGCUGCCUCUGCCUUUGCCGGUGCAGUGAGAGCAGCUUCAGGAAUCUUAUGGCCUCUGAAUAUUUUGGCAUCUUCAGCCUACCAAAACUGUGUCAAAAAUGCCUCUCUUAUUUCUGCAUUGUCCACUGGACGUUUUAGUCAUAUUCAGACACCAGUUGUUUCCUCCACUCCCAGACUUACCACAUCUGAGAGAAACCUGACAUGUGGGCAUACUUCAGCGAUCCUUAAUAGAGUGGCCCUCUUGCUUCCAAGUGUCUUGAAGCUGCCAGCCAGAUCUCUAACAUACGUCAGUACAGGAAAAGGCAAGAGAAGGAUUGUGAAAGCUGUCAUCUAUAGGUUUCUUCGACUUCAUUGUGGCCUUU
This 364-nucleotide long non-coding RNA is filed under the name Homo sapiens (human). Its description in RNAcentral is "non-protein coding lnc-KAT6B-3:2". Lineage: Eukaryota; Metazoa; Chordata; Mammalia; Primates; Hominidae. The record is from RNAcentral.